AAUUUGGCUUUAGCUAAGCCCAAUAAAUUUUUUUAACUAAUUAUAACACUCACCAAUUAAAUAAAGAAUCAAGAAAAAACUACGAAAUGAGGAGUUUGCCCCCCUUUCUCUAUUUCCAACUCCACAACUUUUUAUACAUAAAAAUAAAAAAAAUCAAAACAAAAUAAUAUGAAACUAUAGUUGGCUUUCAAACCAAGAUUUUCAAAAUAAU
RNAcentral lists this long non-coding RNA (211 nucleotides) under Lathyrus oleraceus (garden pea). RNAcentral's name for it is "Pisum sativum (pea) long non-coding RNA (PSAT_LNC031585)". The record is from RNAcentral. Lineage: Eukaryota; Viridiplantae; Streptophyta; Magnoliopsida; Fabales; Fabaceae.